CAAUCGGCCCUUAUCAGGGCCACCAAAUAUUUAAAACGUACAUACC
Molecule: non-coding RNA, 46 nt
Organism: Trichomalopsis sarcophagae
Lineage: Eukaryota; Metazoa; Arthropoda; Insecta; Hymenoptera; Pteromalidae
Source: Rfam